Long non-coding RNA from Solanum stenotomum, 801 nucleotides. RefSeq lists it as uncharacterized. The record is from RefSeq and is a predicted model, not a curated record. The transcript is spliced from 5 exons. Lineage: Eukaryota; Viridiplantae; Streptophyta; Magnoliopsida; Solanales; Solanaceae.
UUUCUCCAGAUGAAGCUCGCUCACUCUCUCUCUCUUAUUCAAAAUUCAAAUUAAAUACAAAUGGGUUCUCUUGUAGAUUUUGAAUCACAGAUGUUCUUUGGAUCGUGUUCUGUGCGAGUGUGAAAAAAUGGCUACCAGGCGAUCCGUUAUCCAGUUGAAACCACCGGUGCCAGAAAUAUCGAUGCGAGUUCUUGUUGACUCAUGUACCACAGGCAAUCCUAAGGGUUAGCACCAUUCAAUUGUUGGUUUUGUUUUAGAGGAAUCAAAACAAUGGCAGAAAAUGCUUCCACCGUCUUCAAUGUUCACGUGCCGGAGUUUGUGGAUGCUAUUUGGGUUGCUCUGAGGGAUCCAACAUUGGCUGUUCGGGAGAAGGCUGUUGAGACAUUGCAUGCCUGCGUUCGUGUUAUUGAAAAGUGUGAGACAAGAUGGUGUGUUCAGUGGUAUUAUUGAAUGGUUAAGGCUACCCAAGAUGGAUCGGGUUGAAACGCUCAUGUUCAUAGUAUACAUGGAUCUCUUUUCGCAGUCGGGGAGCUGCCAAGGAACACAGGGGAGUUCAUUAUGUCAAGAUACAUGGAGGUUGCUGAAAUUGUUCUAAGAUACCUGGAGCACCGAGAUCACCUAGUUCGCCUCAGCAUAACUACUUUACUCCCUCCAAUAGCCCAUUUCAUGCGUGAUUGAUUUGUGACUAACUAUUUAACGAAUGUGCUAGUGGGUUCAUUGCUCUUGGGGAGAUGGCAGUUGCUCUAGAUGGUGAACUCAUUAACUAUUUGCCGAGAAUAACCUCUCACUUGCGUGAUGUGG